GAAGAAUUCCUCCACCGGUGAUGGCUCUCCACCCAAAGUGACACCGACCAAGGCAGCGCAUGGCGCCCAAGGGGGCGGUGGCACACUGCCCGAGGUAGUAGUGAGCCUCUACUAGGUUGGUCGCGCACUACAUGCCUAGCUUGCAGGCGCUGGCCUACCUUGCCAUGCGUAGGAGGUAGAUUGCGCACGCGCAGGGCCUACAACACACAAGGCACUGCGUGUAGGCCUUCUACACGCAUGGUCAAAAGCGUUGGUUUAUUCGCGCAGGCUUACUGCAUAGACAACGUGUGCACAAGUGCGGUGCGUGGCCCUGUCUGCACGCGAUGUGCAUGGACUGGCCUAUCUGUGCCCGACGUGAUAUGCGCAUAGACCGGCACUAUGCCCCGUGCGGAUGGGACGUGCACAUAAAAUCAAAUAAAAUUUAGAAU
This 428-nucleotide long non-coding RNA is filed under the name Carica papaya (papaya). RNAcentral's name for it is "long non-coding RNA (CPAP_LNC013039)". The record is from RNAcentral. Lineage: Eukaryota; Viridiplantae; Streptophyta; Magnoliopsida; Brassicales; Caricaceae.